Molecule: RNA transcript, 2046 nt
Organism: Zingiber officinale
Lineage: Eukaryota; Viridiplantae; Streptophyta; Magnoliopsida; Zingiberales; Zingiberaceae
Gene name: FHA domain-containing protein FHA2-like
Exons: 3
Source: RefSeq, a predicted model, not a curated record
CGCACCCGUUCUCGCGCAAAACCACCGAACCGACCAAUAGCCAUGGCGAAGGGCCGGAAGAAGGACGCCGCCGUCCGCGGCGUGGAUGACGACGGAGGAGCCGCCUCUUCCCAGUCGGUGAACGCGGAGGUGGGAUUCGCCAAGCUCCAGGGCGAGGACUUCGAGUACUACAUGCAGACCUACUCCAUCAUUCUGGGUCGCAACAGCAAGACGUCGGAGGUGGACGUCGAUCUCGCCUCACUCGGCGGCGGCAUGAACAUAUCCCGCCACCAUGCCCGCAUUUUCUACGACUUUAUCCGCCGCCGCUUCGCCCUCGAGGUCCUGGGUAAGAAUGGGUGCUUGGUCGAGGGCGUCCUCUACAUCCCCGGCACGCCGCCCGUCAAGCUCGAUUCCCAAGAUCUCCUCCAGAUGGGGGAAAAACAGUUUUACUUUCUCCUUCCUACCCGAUCCCUAUUUGGCGGUGAAACUGCUCCCGUUACUCGCCAGCUGUCAGGGGCCGCUCUCGCGGGGUGCGCGGACCUCGUGGAUCCUCGUGGAGGUGGGAUUCCCGUGCUUAACGAUGAAGAUGGCAGCUACGAUGACGACGAUGCAAAUGAGGAGGAGGAGGAGGAGGAGGAGGAGGAGGAAGAGGAAGAGGAAGCGGAAGAGGAGGAUGAUGUUAGGGAAUCGAUUGUUCGCAAUGAUGGAAAGCGACUGAGAGGAUUUUCAGAGGAUGAACCGGAGGAAGCUCAUCGUAGGACAAGCAACGAAAAGCCAUCGCGUCGUCCAGGAGAUGACCAGCUAAAUGGCGUUUUGAGAUCUACUUUCAAGAGCUCGGGGGCUCCAGGAAAACGUGACAGUGCUGUAGAACCACAAAACCCAGCCCAAGAGUGCACGCUGAAGAUGCAAUGCCGUAACAUGCACACUCUGCCAGAAAAUUGCAGCAGUGCAAAACUGAACACGAUGUCGGUUCAAUUGACAAGCAACCCAAUUAUUCAGCUGCUUAAAGGCUCAAGAGAACUGCUUGAAGAAUCCUGGAGGAAUCCAAGAAACAGAUAGGUGCAACAGAUGGAGCUAGCAUUGGCACAGUUCAAAAUAGCCUGGUUGUUUUAAAUGAAACAGGGAGUCAUUUCUAGCUGUCCAGAUGGUAUAAAGCCAUGCUUGCACAAGAAGUAUUGAAUACCCUUAAGGCUCUCAGUCUAGGAGACUAGCAACACUUUUCCAUUUCUUCAAUGAGGCCUCCCCUACCAUCUCCUUGUCAAAUGGAAAGGAUCUGAAGUCAACCAGCAAACACAUAAUUGAAGAAGAGCAGUAAGUUCGACUCCUCAACUAGGUGGCACAAGAUAUAAUUCAACUUGAGUUCAAAUCUCUCAAACCCUUUGCAAAGCAGAUCUUUGGUAGUAAUCCUGGUUUGGAGAGCUCCAUACGAUGGUAGCAAAAGGUGGAAUCCACCACCCCAGCGACCUCAUAUGUGAGCUGAGAAACACAAGAAGUUGAGUGAAAGACGCAGCUAGUGAGAAGGAUGACACAGGCAAGAGCGGCUCGGUGUAUCCGAGAGCCGAGAUGCUACGGAAGAGUACACCGGUGGACGAGAAGGACGUGUGCGACGUUAGAGGGACGAGAAGCCGGGGAGGAAGUCUGCUCGAGGAGAAGGCCGGAAGAUGGGUCCGGGUGAGCCCAAUUCCGGAUGGACGACAUCACCAGGCGAUCGGAGCAACGAAAGAGCCAACACGGAGCUGCGGAGCUGCUGGAGGCGCCCUCAAUGUGGUUGGAGGCGCCUCCGCACCUUUUUGUGGGAAGACACCUUCAACAGGGUUAAAGGCGCUUUCAACCACCCAUGGAAGGCGGCUUUAACCCUUUGAAGGCGCCUUAGAUUGGGCAAAAUGUAACCGUUAGCAAAGAUAAAGUCUUAUCUUCCCUUGCCUCGUUGGAGGCACCUUCUAGCCUCAGAUAUCCAGGAGCUAUAAAAGGACCCCCUGGACGUAGGAAAUAUUCAAUAACUCAAGUAUUCAUUUCCUAGCUUAUUCCUGAACAUUCAAAGAGUGUAAGAGGCUUCUCCGUCUUCAA